GGGCGGAUACCAAAGCGGUCAAAUGGGGCGGGCUGUAAACCCGCUGGCUAUCGCCUUCGGGGGUUCGAAUCCCUCUCCGCCCACCA
Molecule: transfer RNA, 86 nt
Filed under: bacterium
Lineage: Bacteria
Description: tRNA-Tyr
Rfam family: tRNA
About the family: Transfer RNA (tRNA) molecules are approximately 80 nucleotides in length. Their secondary structure includes four short double-helical elements and three loops (D, anti-codon, and T loops). Further hydrogen bonds mediate the characteristic L-shaped molecular structure. tRNAs have two regions of fundamental functional importance: the anti-codon, which is responsible for specific mRNA codon recognition, and the 3' end, to which the tRNAs corresponding amino acid is attached (by aminoacyl-tRNA synthetases). tRNAs cope with the degeneracy of the genetic code in two manners: having more than one tRNA (with a specific anti-codon) for a particular amino acid; and 'wobble' base-pairing, i.e. permitting non-standard base-pairing at the 3rd anti-codon position.
Source: RNAcentral